RNAcentral lists this ribosomal RNA (623 nucleotides) under uncultured Gammaproteobacteria bacterium. RNAcentral describes it as "bacterial SSU rRNA". It matches the Rfam family "Bacterial small subunit ribosomal RNA", at positions 57 to 668 of the family's 1533-position model. Lineage: Bacteria; Pseudomonadati; Pseudomonadota; Gammaproteobacteria. The record is from RNAcentral.
GCAGUCGCAACGGUAACGCGGAGAGCUUGCUCUCUGGCGACGAGNGGCGGAGGGAAGAGAUAAUACUUAGGAAUCUGCCCAGUUAGUGGGGGACAACAUUCGGAAACGGAUGCUAAUACCGCAUACGCACUAAGGUGGAAAGUGGGGGACCUUCGGGCCUCACGCUAUUGGAUGAGCCUAAGUCGGAUUAGCUUGUUGGUGAGGUAAUAGCUCACCAAGGCGACGAUCCGUANCUGGUCUGANAGGACGAUCAGCCACACUGGGACUGAGACACGGCCCAGACUCCUACGGGAGGCAGCAGUGGGGAAUAUUGGACAAUGGGCGCAAGCCUGAUCCAGCAAUGCCGCGUGUGUGAAGAAGGCCUGCGGGUUGUAAAGCACUUUCNGNANAGAAGAAAAGCCUAGGGNUAAUACCCCUGAGUCUUGACGNAACCUACAGAAGAAGCACCGGCUAACUCCGUGCCAGCANCCGCGGCAAUACGGAGGGUGCAAGCGUUAAUCGGAAUUACUGGGCGUAAAGCGCGCGUAGGCGGCUUGGUAAAGUCGGAUGUGAAAGCCCAGGGCUUAACCUUGNAAUUGCAUUCGAUACUGCCUGGCUAGAGUAUGGUAGAGGGAAGUGGAAUU